CAGGGCUUUAUUCAUCCAAGAAUGAUACAAUGUUGGUAUGUGGUAUAUACUCACAAUUUUGAAGGGUUUACAAAUCACAAGCUGCGAAAAUAAGUUCAGACAUUCGCCAUUGAAGCAUUCGCAGUUGACAAGCUGAGAUUAUAAGGGGUCUCUAAGUAGCAAGGGAGCCUACAAUCAUUAAUUUGAUUGUUAGAGAGUUAAAGCCAUAUUUUCAUAUGUUGGUGCAAUCCUUUUGAAAUAUCGGUGCAAAAAUGUUAUCUUUACAUUUGUAAGGUAACACUUCUAAGGCUUCAUGUUUUAUCCUGGUGAAAAAAUAGUCGUGGGGUAUACCUUAAUGUAUAUGAUUGUGACUUUUGAAUUGUAUUACUUACCUAUUAAAGUAUUUGUUGGAUAUGUUGUUGUAGAUCCAACCAUUACAUCUCAAUUCUUUUGCUAUUAAUAGUAGAUUUAUCGUGUGUGUUUGUAUUAUUUACAAUUUUCUUUCAAAUCAUACAUACAAUGACAGUGUAGACCCCUCAUCAUGUGAAAUUCAUGACUGAUUAGUGAGGAUGUUGGAGUUGGAUUUAAUGUCUAAAAAUUAAGGCUCUUCUU
Long non-coding RNA from Vigna unguiculata (cowpea), 591 nucleotides. Lineage: Eukaryota; Viridiplantae; Streptophyta; Magnoliopsida; Fabales; Fabaceae. The record is from RefSeq and is a predicted model, not a curated record.